UACGUAGGGGACGAGCGUUGUCCGGAUUUACUGGGCGUAAAGGGCGCGUAGGCGGUCAUUUAAGUCAGCUGUGAAAUGGUUUGGCUUAACCGGAUCAUGCGGUUGAAACUGGAUGACUGGAGUGCUGGAGAGGCAAGUGGAAUUCCCAGUGUAGCGGUGAAAUGCGUAGAUAUUGGGAAGAACACCGGUGGCGAAGGCGACUUGCUGGCCAGCAACUGACGCUGAGGCGCGAAAGCCAGGGGAGCAAACGGGAUUAGAUACCCCGGUAGUCCUGGCCGUAAACGAUGAAUGCUAGGUGUGGGCAUCGAGAGGUGUCCGUGCCGGAGCUAACGCGAUAAGCAUUCCGCCUGGGGAGUACGAUCGCAAGAUUGAA
This 373-nucleotide ribosomal RNA is filed under the name uncultured bacterium. Its description in RNAcentral is "bacterial SSU rRNA". It matches the Rfam family "Bacterial small subunit ribosomal RNA", at positions 524 to 898 of the family's 1533-position model. The record is from RNAcentral.